CGUUCUCGUCCGAUCACACGAAGUUAAGCAGCGUCGGGAGGGGUCAGUACUUGGAUGGGUGAUCGCCUGGGAACACCGCGUGAUGU
Non-coding RNA from Eumeta japonica, 86 nucleotides. The record is from the annotation of a GenBank genome assembly. NCBI's taxonomy places the organism in Eukaryota, Metazoa, Arthropoda, Insecta, Lepidoptera, Psychidae.